Molecule: transfer RNA, 50 nt
Filed under: Backhousia myrtifolia
Lineage: Eukaryota; Viridiplantae; Streptophyta; Magnoliopsida; Myrtales; Myrtaceae
Description: partial tRNA-Leu
Source: RNAcentral
UUAAAAAUCGUGAGGGUUCAAGUCCCUCUAUCCCCAAAAAAGGACCAUUU